RNAcentral lists this small nuclear RNA (141 nucleotides) under Catagonus wagneri (Chacoan peccary). Its description in RNAcentral is "U2 spliceosomal RNA (ENSCWAG00000014768.1)". It matches the Rfam family "U2 spliceosomal RNA". From Rfam's summary of the family: U2 is a small nuclear RNA (snRNA) component of the spliceosome (involved in pre-mRNA splicing). The record is from Rfam by way of RNAcentral. Lineage: Eukaryota; Metazoa; Chordata; Mammalia; Artiodactyla; Tayassuidae.
AUAGCUUCUCAGCCUUUUGGCUAAGAUCAAGUGUAGAUAAAAACAAAACCAAGUUUUUUAAGGCCAUUAUUCAAUUAGAACCUAGAUUCAAUAAUAGGUCAAAUAUAUCUUAAAUUUCAAUGUAAUUAAUGUUAUCCUGCA